AGUGAACGCUGGCGGUAGGCCUAACACAUGCAAGUCGAACGGCAGCACAGUAAGAGCUUGCUCUUACGGGUGGCGAGUGGCGGACGGGUGAGGAAUACAUCGGAAUUUACUUUUUCGUGGGGGAUAACGUAGGGAAACUUACGCUAUUACCGCAUACGACCUUCGGGGGAAAGCAGAGGAUCUUCGGAUCUUUUGCGAUAGAAUGAGCCGUGGUCGUAUUAGCUAGUAGGCGGGGUAAAGGCCCACCAAGGCGACGAUCCAUAGCUGGUCUGAGAGGAUGAUCAGCCACACUGGAACUGAGACACGGUCCAGACUCCUACGGGAGGCAGCAGUGGGGAAUAUUGGACAAAGGGCGCAAGCCUGAUCCAGCCAUACCGCGUGGGUGAAGAAGGACUUCGGGUUGUAAAGCCCUUUUGUUGGGAAAGAAAAGCAGCAGGUUAAUACCCCGCUGUUCUGACGGUACCCAAAGAAUAAGCACCGGCUAACUUCGUG
RNAcentral lists this ribosomal RNA (492 nucleotides) under uncultured bacterium. RNAcentral's name for it is "partial 16S ribosomal RNA". It matches the Rfam family "Bacterial small subunit ribosomal RNA", at positions 29 to 507 of the family's 1533-position model. The record is from RNAcentral.